This is a non-coding RNA of Lachancea nothofagi CBS 11611, 164 nucleotides long. The record is from the annotation of a GenBank genome assembly. Lineage: Eukaryota; Fungi; Ascomycota; Saccharomycetes; Saccharomycetales; Saccharomycetaceae.
AAAUACGGUGAGAUCAAUAUCAGACUAGUCUGUCGUGCGAUGCACGAUGGCUAACCUAUAACGAACAUGGUUCUUGCCUUUUACCAGAACCAUCCGGGUAUUGUCUUUUCCAGGUGCGAGUUUUGCAGUGCUGUGUAUUUUUUGGAAACUUUGCCUAUGUUUUU